UGGUUCAGUAGGUAGAGCAUGAGACUCUUGAUCUCAAGAGUUGUGAGUUCAAGCCCCAC
This 59-nucleotide transfer RNA is filed under the name Felis catus (domestic cat). It matches the Rfam family "tRNA", at positions 8 to 63 of the family's 71-position model. From Rfam's summary of the family: Transfer RNA (tRNA) molecules are approximately 80 nucleotides in length. Lineage: Eukaryota; Metazoa; Chordata; Mammalia; Carnivora; Felidae. RNAcentral also lists the same sequence under 6 other names. The record is from Rfam by way of RNAcentral.